GAUGAACGCUAGCGGUGCGCCUAACACAUGCAAGUCGAGCGCCCUCACUUUGUCUUUGAAUCUUUCGAAGUCAGUGUGAGGGAGCGGCGAACGGGUGAGUAACACGUUGGAACCUACCCCAGACUCAGGGAUAGCCCGCCGAAAGGUGGAUUAAUACCGGAUAGUCUCGUAAGAGUAAAGCUUUUGCGGUCUGGGAGGGGCCUGCGGCCUAUCAGCUUGUUGGUAGUGUAAUAGACUACCAAGGCUAUGACGGGUAUCUGGUGUGAGAGCAUGACCAGACACAAUGGGACUGAGACACGGCCCAUACUCCUACGGGAGGCAGCAGUGAGGAAUCUUCCGCAAUGGGCGAAAGCCUGACGGAGCGACACCGCGUGGAGGACGAAGGCCUUUUGGUUGUAAACUCCUUUUCUGAGGGAAUAAAUGAUGAAGGUACCUCAGGAAUAAGCACCGGCUAACUACGUG
This 462-nucleotide ribosomal RNA is filed under the name uncultured bacterium. Its description in RNAcentral is "bacterial SSU rRNA". It matches the Rfam family "Bacterial small subunit ribosomal RNA", at positions 28 to 507 of the family's 1533-position model. The record is from RNAcentral.